Long non-coding RNA from Panicum virgatum (switchgrass), 999 nucleotides. RefSeq lists it as uncharacterized. The transcript has 2 exons. Lineage: Eukaryota; Viridiplantae; Streptophyta; Magnoliopsida; Poales; Poaceae. The record is from RefSeq and is a predicted model, not a curated record.
UCCCGGCGCUCCCUCCGCAGCUCCGCUCGACCCCGAUCCCCGAAGGCUCCGCGCCGUGCCUCCGCGCCCCGCCUCCAUGCCUCCGCGCCGCAGCCGCUGCCUGCCUCCGCGCGCGCGCCUCCGGCUGCCACCAAACCCUACCUGCUGCUGAAAUCCCGCUCGAGCGCACCGCCGCCGCACCCCAAAAUCUCCGCUCGAGCGCGCCGCAGGCGCAUCCUUCUCUGAUCCCUUCCCGCUAGAGCACGCUGCUACCCCCAAUCCCUUCCUGCUCGAGCUCCCACCUAGCCAAAUCCAUCCACAGGCUCUCCUCCAAUCCCUUCCUGCUCGAGCUCCCGCCCAGCCAAAUCCAUCCACAGGCGCUCCUCCAGCCCAAUGCCCCAAUCCCAUCCUCCCCAACGCAGCUUCUCUCUCUUCCCCAGCCCAAAUCAAUUCCGUCGCUGCUCUGUCCCCAAUCCUCUCAUUGCUAGCUUUGUCCCCAAAUCCUAUAGUCUGCUCCAUUAUCUACUGCUGAGAGCCAUGGAGAGCUAGGAGGCGUGUCCUGGGAGGAGGAGGGAAGGAGUUGUGUUGGGAGGCAAGGAGUUGCAUCGAUCUGGGAGGAAGGACUGGGGCGGCUGGCGAGCUCGCUGCAGCUACGGCUCGUCCUCCGACGGCGACGACGCCUCGGCCGCCAACGGAGAGGAGUUCGUCGACUCCAACGUCAUCGAGGCUGUUGAGCUCAGGAGCGUAUCAGAUAGUUUUGAGAUAAAAAUGCAUGACGGCAAAAACUUGAGAUGAAGAGGACACCAUUAGCUUUGACCUCAAGCCAUCAGAUGCUAUCAACAUUGCUUUCCGGUGCAAGGUAUGCAUUCGCUUCCUCACUUUUCACAGUAUAUCUUGACAAUAUUUGUUUGAAUGAUAACUACUGUUGAUACUGAAAGUGUUGUUUAACAUAUGCGUGUUAACCAUACGAGUGUUAAAACACUCUGUUGAAGAAUCUAAGCAACAACAGUUAAGCAACCA